AAAGGGCCGCGGUAAUUUGACCGUGCGAAGGUAGCAUAAUCAUUAGUCUUUUAAUUGGAGGCUUGUAUGAAUGGUUGGAUGAAAGACAUUCUGUCUUUUUAAAUAGUGUGAAUUUAACAUUUAAGUGAAAAGGCUUAAAUUAUUUAGUGGGACGAUAAGACCCUAUAAAACUUUAUAUAACUUAUGAAUUAUAAAUGUAUUUAGUUUAAAGUUAUUUUAUAUAAAUUAUAUUUCGUUGGGGAGAUGUUCAUAUAAUUUGUAACUGUUUUUUUAAUUAAAUAAUUAUAAUUAGUUUUUGAUCCUUUAGUAAAGAUUAAAAGACUAAGUUACUUUAGGGAUAACAGCGUAAUUUUCUCUGAGAGUUCUUAUCGACGAGAGUAGUUGCGACCUCGAUGUUGAAUUAAAAUUUCAGGUUGGUGUAGUCGCUUUCCUGGUGGGUCUGUUCGACCUUUAAAAUUUUACAUGAUUU
This 469-nucleotide ribosomal RNA is filed under the name Periclimenes sandybrucei. Its description in RNAcentral is "partial 16S ribosomal RNA". It matches the Rfam family "Bacterial large subunit ribosomal RNA", at positions 1925 to 2606 of the family's 2925-position model. Lineage: Eukaryota; Metazoa; Arthropoda; Malacostraca; Decapoda; Palaemonidae. The record is from RNAcentral.